UAGAGAUAGCUGGUUAUUCAGGAAAAGGAUAUUAGUCCAACUUUAAAUCUUCACAUAUUACCAAAUAUACCAACAGAUUUAAAAUUCAUUCAAAUAAGGUUCAGCCUAUUUGAAACAGGGUACAACCUAUACCAUUGGGUAAUGUUUUACUAACAUGAUCAAGUUGGCCUAAGAGCAGCCACCUUUAAAAAAGCGUCAUAGCUUUAUCAUAUUUAUCACCAAUACCUCACAAAACUCAAAACCCCUCACUCAUACUGAAUGACUUCAUACACAUAUGAAAAACCUUAUGUUAGAACUAGUAACAAGAAUAAUUAUUCUCCUAAACGUAAGUGUAAGCCGGACUGAACCACUCACCGGCAUUUACCGCCAAUGAACUAAAAGUAAUAACCACACAAGAAAACCUUACUUUUAAAAGCGUUAACCUUACACUAGAAUUUUUCUGGAAAGAUUAAAAAGAGAGGAAGGAACUCGGCAAAUAUUAACCCCGCCUGUUUACCAA
This 499-nucleotide ribosomal RNA is filed under the name Copiula derongo. RNAcentral describes it as "partial 16S ribosomal RNA". Lineage: Eukaryota; Metazoa; Chordata; Amphibia; Anura; Microhylidae. The record is from RNAcentral.